AUCUAUUGUAGUCUAAUUGAUUAAAAUAUUUGGCUCUCACCCAAAAAGACCCGGGUUCAAGUCCCCGCAACGGAAA
Molecule: transfer RNA, 76 nt
Filed under: Rosa chinensis
Lineage: Eukaryota; Viridiplantae; Streptophyta; Magnoliopsida; Rosales; Rosaceae
Also listed under: 1 other name
Description: tRNA RchiOBHm_Chr3g0488521
Rfam family: tRNA
About the family: Transfer RNA (tRNA) molecules are approximately 80 nucleotides in length.
Source: RNAcentral